Molecule: non-coding RNA, 106 nt
Organism: Malassezia arunalokei
Lineage: Eukaryota; Fungi; Basidiomycota; Malasseziomycetes; Malasseziales; Malasseziaceae
Source: the annotation of a GenBank genome assembly
GGCCCAAUAGUAUAGUCGUAUUAUACUCCCUUCGGGAAAGUCUCGACACCCUCAGGGGAGCCCUGAGCACUGGGAGAGGUCCCGGGUUCAAUUCCCGGUUGGGCCC